This 500-nucleotide ribosomal RNA is filed under the name uncultured bacterium. RNAcentral describes it as "bacterial SSU rRNA". It matches the Rfam family "Bacterial small subunit ribosomal RNA", at positions 9 to 507 of the family's 1533-position model. The record is from RNAcentral.
GAGUUUGAUCCUGGCUCAGAAUGAACGGUUGGCGGCGUGGAUUAGGCAUGCAAGUCGAGCGAGAACCCGCAAGGGGGACAGCGGCGAACGGGGUAGGACAAUCUAGGUAACGUACCCUCGGGGCGAGGACAGCCACGGGAAACUGUGGGUAAUACUCGAUAAACUUCCCAAUCAUUAUCGGAGGGGAAGCAAUGGGUGUGAUUCCACCUGAGGAGCGGCUUAGACAGUAUCAGCUUGUUGGUGAGGUAACGGCUCACCAAGGCUACGACGCUUAGGGGGUGUGAGAGCAUGGCCCCCACCACUGGCACUGAGACACUGGCCAGACACCUACGGGUGGCUGCAGUCGAGAAUCUUCGGCAAUGGACGCAAGUCUGACCGAGCGACGCCGCGUGCGGGAUGAAGGUCUUCGGAUUGUAAACCGCUGUCAGAGGGGAUGAAGUGUACGGGGGUACUCCCCUGUACUUGACAGAGCCUCAGAGGAAGCACGGGCUAAGUUCGUG